GUUCUCGUACGACCACCGAAGUUAAGCAACAUCGAUCCUGGCCAGUACCUAGAUGGGUGACCGCUUGGGAAUACCAGGUGCU
This is a non-coding RNA of Acanthosepion pharaonis, 82 nucleotides long. The record is from the annotation of a GenBank genome assembly. NCBI's taxonomy places the organism in Eukaryota, Metazoa, Mollusca, Cephalopoda, Sepiida, Sepiidae.